Molecule: long non-coding RNA, 970 nt
Filed under: Coturnix japonica (Japanese quail)
Lineage: Eukaryota; Metazoa; Chordata; Aves; Galliformes; Phasianidae
Description: lncRNA (ENSCJPG00005020572.1)
Source: RNAcentral
CUCACCGACACUUUUGGAACGAUACUGAGUGAAGUUACAAGGUCCAACAUGCACACAUUCACACCACGAGCCUCUGAUUCAUCACACUGAGCUUUGAACAGGCUUGUGUUAUGUGAGAAUACACAGAUUCGGUUCUUACUGAUGGCACAAAGAAAGAGUGAGGAUGUACUUUGUCCUUCAAAGAUUGCCUCAGGCAACAUAUUUAAUGGUGCUCUCCAGAGAGCCUGGCAGACACGAGCAGGCAAACAGCAAACGAAAAGAUCUUCUGCUCUAUGGAAAACACGAGAGCUUGGCUGAAAGCAAGAACGGGACUUCAUGCAGUCAGCAUCGAAUCAAGCAAGGGAGAAAGCUCAGCUGGAGAAACAGCUUUGCAGGCUGCAACACCCAGAGGCAGAGAACCUAGGCUCCAUUCUCACCUUCUGGUCCCACCAGGUCCCAAACCAAUGCUGAUCUUCUCCUGUGAAAGCCAUCAUUUUGACCUCUGGAUUACAUGGACACAGAAUCAGGAACCAUGAAGAAAAAUUGCUGUGGACUUCAUAAGGCAUAAAUGUGAGGCAUUUCUUCUUUCACCAUUCACUACUCCAUUGAAGGAGUCUCUGAACUUCAAAACAGGAAUCUUCUCACCUCUAACUCCCUUCCCCAUUUUGCUGUAGUAAUCAACUAUUGUUUACUCAGUGUUGCCUACAAACACAGUCACUUGAACAAAAAACUCACCAGUUUAUGCUCUAGUUCUCUGGAUUGCACAGCACUCCUGCUAUUAUCAAGUUCUGCACAAAUCCCUAACAGAGACAAAAAGAUUGAUGCUAAGAAAAGCUGUUUUCUAGCUGCGGAAUAUCAUCUACAUAUUAUUUUCUCCCCAGCACCAUCUCUGCCCCACAACACAACACAACCCAAAAGUUUCAGGUCUUCCUUGGACUACACACCCCACUUGCAAAAUAAAUAAAUAAAUAAAUAAAUAAUGAAAAAUUAA